Molecule: transfer RNA, 71 nt
Filed under: Trachinus draco (greater weever)
Lineage: Eukaryota; Metazoa; Chordata; Actinopteri; Perciformes; Trachinidae
Also listed under: 1 other name
Description: tRNA-Gln
Rfam family: tRNA
About the family: Transfer RNA (tRNA) molecules are approximately 80 nucleotides in length. Their secondary structure includes four short double-helical elements and three loops (D, anti-codon, and T loops).
Source: RNAcentral
UAGGACUUGGUGUAGUGGAAACACAGAGAUUUUUGAACUCUCAGAGGAGGGUUCAAGUCCCUUUAUUCUAU